GACGAACGCUGGCGGCGUGCUUAACACAUGCAAGUCGAACGGAAAGGCCCUGCUUUUGUGGGGUGCUCGAGUGGCGAACGGGUGAGUAACGCGUAGGUAACCUGCCUGGUAGCGGGGGAUAACUAUUGGAAACGAUAGCUAAUACCGCAUAAGAGUAGAUGUUGCAUGACAUUUGCUUAAAAGGUGCAAUUGCAUCACUACCAGAUGGACCUGCGUUGUAUUAGCUAGUUGGUGGGGUAACGGCUCACCAAGGCGACGAUACAUAGCCGACCUGAGAGGGUGAUCGGCCACACUGGGACUGAGACACGGCCCAGACUCCUACGGGAGGCAGCAGUAGGGAAUCUUCGGCAAUGGACGGAAGUCUGACCGAGCAACGCCGCGUGAGUGAAGAAGGUUUUCGGAUCGUAAAGCUCUGUUGUAAGAGAAGAACGAGUGUGAGAGUGGAAAGUUCACACUGCGACGGUAUCUUACCAGAAAGGGACGGCUAACUACGUG
This 495-nucleotide ribosomal RNA is filed under the name uncultured bacterium. Its description in RNAcentral is "partial 16S ribosomal RNA". It matches the Rfam family "Bacterial small subunit ribosomal RNA", at positions 28 to 507 of the family's 1533-position model. The record is from RNAcentral.